CUAAGGCUCCAGAGGAAGCCACGGCUAACUCUGUGCCAGCAGCCGCGGUAAUACAGAGGCGGCAAGCGUUGUUCGGAAUUAUUGGGCGUAAAGAGCACGUAGGCGGCCUUGCAAGUCAGUUGUGAAAGCCUUCCGCUUAACGGAAGAAUGCCAGCUGAUACUACAGGGCUUGAGUACGGGAGGGGAGAGUGGAACUUCUGGUGGAGCGGUGAAAUGCGUAGAUAUCAGAAGGAACGCCGGCGGCGGAAGCGACUCUCCGGCCCGAAACUGACGCUGAGUGUGCGAAAGCUAGGGGAGCAAACGGGGUUAGAUACCCCGGUAGUCCUGGCCGUAAA
This 335-nucleotide ribosomal RNA is filed under the name uncultured Planctomycetales bacterium. Its description in RNAcentral is "bacterial SSU rRNA". It matches the Rfam family "Bacterial small subunit ribosomal RNA", at positions 473 to 806 of the family's 1533-position model. Lineage: Bacteria; Pseudomonadati; Planctomycetota; Planctomycetia; Planctomycetales. The record is from RNAcentral.